CGCCUGACUUAAUUUGUUUUGCUAAAAAGGACGCAUUUGUAUGGGUAUGAUUCAUUAGCUAGUUUAGUCAUAACUAAAUAUAAAGCAAAGAACAUGUCACCUAGAUAGAUUUGGGAAAUGACUGAAAACGUUCUUGCUAGCUAGCGUAAUAUUAGUAACGAGGGAACUGACACUCAAACCCUUCUCCGUAUGUAGUUAGUUAACUACGGUUUUCAGUGGUUACAAACGCCCACUGUUGCCUCCAUGUGAACUACAAUUUCAACGCUGUGUUAACGUUUUAGAAACGUAAAAUGCUUUCAGUCGGAUUUACGAAACAUUGAUGUGCCCCUCUAAUGCCCCGUAUUUACUGUAGCAGUUUUGCACGGAUCCACAAGCGGUGUUCCUCCAGUUGAAAAAUUACACUACCUCCCGUGUUACGAUUGGCUAAUUAACAGUACACACAGGUGUUCGGAGCAGGCUAGAUGGCACAGGUGGCCUCCUGUCUACUGUAAAAAAGCGAUGCAACAUGGAUAAAUGACCUGUGCGGGGAUGAUUAUAAAACAUGAUGGGUGAACUGCAUCCAACACGUAAACCAGAGCAUCUUGGUUCAUACAUUUUUCUCUGAAGUGUAUAUAUUUGGGACUCGGACAUGGCUGAGCGAAGUGAAGAAGAGAGAGUGAACGACAGCAGUGGAGAAUCAAGCAGGUAACAAAGCCUUUAUCGACUCAUUGAGACCAUGCAACUCCUGUGCACAUCUUUGUGUCAACCAAUUCAACAUUUCCAUCAUCCUGUAAAAGCUGUGAUGUCACUUGUCUUUUUAAAACCUGUGGAUAUUUGUUUCAAAGUUCACAGAAUUCGAUGCAAGAAAAUUGCAUAAAUUGUAUAAGCACGCAAUCAAGAAAAGACAAGAGAAUGCUCAGGUAUGUAUAACACUGGCCGUUGCCAAAUGAGCUACUGUUUUUGUGCAUCAAUUGACCACAUAAAGGUCUGCUAAAUAAUAAUGUGAUACAAAUUCAGAUUGCAUUUCCUAUCUUUCCAAGUUCAGUUUUAAGGGCAGUGGUUUGAGGCUUCUCUUUUACAGGCAGCUGACCAGAACACUAGCACUGUAAAUACCCACGGCUUUAAACACACAGACAUCGAGAGGCUAAAGGACAACUCGCACCACGAAGACAGCAGCAGGGACUGCUACAGCUCUGAGCUGCACCUCUCUUCAUCACGCUACCACAAGCACAGCGGCAGCAAGGACAGUGACAACGGGUCAGGCAUACCUCCACAGACCCCUGCCGCAGGAAGGGCGGGAGCGGGGAGGACUCCAGGAAGAGAGCCUACUCAUCCUUCAGCAACGGCAAAGACCACCGAGACCACUACCGGUCAGACCGGUGGGACAGCAGAUACUACAACGACACUAAGCACAGGAAGGUGGAUGAUACAGGUCAGGCCGAGACAGACGGAUGGACAGCAAGGAGCGCUCCCACUCAGACCAACACUCGCAUUCCAAACACCGCUCGUGCUCAGAACACAAGUCAUCGUCACGAGGCGACUCCUACCACUCAGACUGGCAGAUAGACCACCGGGCAUCGGCCAGCGGGCCCCGUUCACCUCGCGACCAGUGCUCAUCCUACGACGGACGCUCGCCACUGGGCCACCGUUUGUACUCAUCGGACCACAAGAGCACGCCGGAGCAGAUCUGGAGCAGCCGAAAGACUUAACAGCCAGCUUCGGCCUGGUCCAGAGGAGCUGGCCUAGUGGCGAUAUUAUCAGCCAUAGACACACGUUGGACACAGGAAAUGCCUUAUGGGGACUGUGGAAGAAAACAAAGCUGUACUAUGCACUGUGUAUCUGUGGGCUCAGCUUUCCUGUGGUGCCCACACUCCAAUAGUGCACCACAUCCCAGGAACGAUAGGGAUGGGAUUAGGAUGGCAGAGAAAUUUUAUAUUUUGGUAUUUAAGAGUUGAAUGCUGCACUGUGCUAUAGGUGUCACAGUAUAGUUUAUUUUCUUAUUUUUUAUAAAAUGGACGGCUUUGUUUUUUUACUCAAAUGGACACAAAUACCCUCAAGUGCUGUCCCCACAUCAACCAAACCACAACACUGGAUCCUGCUAUUGACAGUUUUCUUCCCCCCUCACGCUUAAUGUGGUUCUCAAGCUUAUUUAAAGAAGUGUUAAAUCAAGAGGUAAAGUAACAUGUAGGUUAUCUCAUAAUCAUGCUAAGAGUGGAUGUUAGGGUCUCAUCAUUUACAGUGUUUCUUGUGCCCACCCUGCCAAUCAUUUUAGUUUUUUUUUCAUGCUUGAAUUAUUUAAUUUCUGUCUGCUGUAAAAUAACCUGGAUUUUUGGUGGGGAUCAGCUGAAAAUGUCCCUUUUUCACAAAUUAUACUACUGUAAAAUAUAGGAAAAUAGUAAAUCAAUAUGCUUUUUCCUCUCAGGCUUUCUGGGGUUUGUUAUUACAACUCUACCUUUUCUAACCCCAUUUUUGUCUGUUUUAAAAUAACUCAGUUUUUGUACGACAGUUACUUUUAAUGAUUAAUGCUAUUCAGAAUGCAGCUUUGGCAAACUGGGGAAAUUAUUCCAUGAGUCUAUUAUUCCUCUAGAGGGCCUUCUUAGUUUUUCUGUUUCUCUUGUGUUAAUUCUCUGUUGUGAAUACGUGUCAGAAUCGACGAGGUGAAAGCGCUCACGUUUUACUACAAUGUCAUGGAAAACCAGGAAGAGGGGUCUAUCAAAUAAAAGUGCCGGUUAGAUCUCAAAUAAACUUGUUAUUUUUUUAACGUAGGCGACAAUGUCAAAAAGUCUAUGCAGCCAAGUGAACAGCCCAAGUGAAGAUGCUGUUACAGUUCACACUGUUGUACAUAGAUUUCCUCUAUAUUUAAAAAAUGUAUUUACACUGAAAAUGCAUGGGUUUUUAAGAUAAUUGUUUUAUAUAGUUUAUAAAGUAAUUAAACUCAAUCACUGUGCUCACUUGUAAUCUGGAGUGGUUUACAUGGUCUUCCUGUUGGUGCGUAUGUCGCAGUACUAGAAUUCUGGAGCAGAAUAUCCCUCAGGUAACAAAGAGUUGUCGCCAGGUUUUACCACGGAGUAACCUAUGACCCAGAAUCCAUCUCUUCCUCAACCCUUUGAGUAAAUAGGCCAGGGAAGCAUAAAAGCUGUGGUUACCGUAACACUAGGAGGCAUGGCUGUAGGUUUUAAAUGAACUGAACAAAAAUGUAAAGUGUUUGUCCCAUGUUUCAUGAGCUGAAAUAAAAAAGAUCCCAGAAAUGUUC
Molecule: RNA transcript, 3232 nt
Organism: Salmo salar (Atlantic salmon)
Lineage: Eukaryota; Metazoa; Chordata; Actinopteri; Salmoniformes; Salmonidae
Source: RefSeq, a predicted model, not a curated record